UACAGAGGUGGCAAGCGUUGUUCGGAAUUCCUGGGCGUAAAGCGCACGUAGGCGGACUCUUAAGUCAGUGGUGAAAUCCUGGAGCUCAACUCCAGAACUGCCUUUGAUACUGGGAGUCUUGAGUUCGGGAGAGGUGAGUGGAACUGCGAGUGUAGAGGUGAAAUUCGUAGAUAUUCGCAAGAACACCAGUGGCGAAGGCGGCUCACUGGACCGAUACUGACGCUGAGGUGCGAAAGCGUGGGGAGCAAACAGG
Molecule: ribosomal RNA, 253 nt
Filed under: uncultured bacterium
Lineage: Bacteria
Description: partial 16S ribosomal RNA
Rfam family: Bacterial small subunit ribosomal RNA
Source: RNAcentral